RNAcentral lists this ribosomal RNA (426 nucleotides) under uncultured bacterium. RNAcentral describes it as "bacterial SSU rRNA". It matches the Rfam family "Bacterial small subunit ribosomal RNA", at positions 355 to 772 of the family's 1533-position model. The record is from RNAcentral.
UAGGGAAUUUUCCGCAAUGGGCGAAAGCCUGACGGAGCAACGCCGCGUGAGUGAGGACGGCCUUCGGGUUGUAAAACUCUGUUCUUGAGGAAGAAUUCCUUCCAGGCGAACAGCCUGGAAGGUUGACGGUACUCAAGGAGAAAGCCCCGGCUAACUACGUGCCAGCAGCCGCGGUAAUACGUAGGGGGCGAGCGUUAUCCGGAAUUAUUGGGCGUAAAGCGCGCGCAGGCGGCUGAUUAAGUCAGGUGUGAAAGGCUGCGGCUCAACCGCAGAGCGGCACCUGAAACUGGUCAGCUUGAGUGCAGGAGAGGGGAGCGGAAUUCCCGGUGUAGCGGUGGAAUGCGUAGAGAUCGGGAGGAACACCAGUGGCGAAGGCGGCUCUCUGGCCUGUAACUGACGCUGAGGCGCGAAAGCGUGGGGAGCAAA